UUUUUUCUUUUUCUUUUUCGGGCUGCACCUGCAACAUAUGCAAGUUCCCUGGCUAGGGGUCAAAGGAGAGCCACAGCUGCUGGCUUAUGCCACAGCAAUGUGGGAUCCAAGCUCCAUCUACAACCUACUGAUCUACUAACCAGUGUCAGUACAGACUGAUACAACGUGAAUUUUAAGAGCUAACUUGUCAAAUCCCUUGAAAAUCUGCAGAUUUUGACUUAAACUGCACUGAAUUUACACACUUGGAGCAAAAAGCACUUUAAUCAGCCUUUCCAUUGAUGUAUAUGAUACUGAUCACCAUUUAUGCAGGAGUUCCCUCUCUGGUGCAUUGGAUUAAAAAUCAGACUGCAGCAGCUUGGGUCGCUGUAGAAGCUUGGGUUUGAUCUCUGGCCUGGUGCAGUAGGUUAAAGGAUCCAGCACUGCUGCACCUGUGGCUCAGAUUCAGUCCCUGGCCCCCAGGGACUUCCAUAUGCCACAGAUGCAGCUAUUAAAAAAAAAAAAAAACCCCAAAAAACCCCACAAAGCUCUGUACCAUUUAUUCAGAUUUCCUUUAUUUGUUAAUCAACUUGCAUAACUAAGAAUGUCUACUUGUUGUUGCUUAUAGGGGUGUAAUUCAAGAUAAUUUAUAUCUGAUAUUAUGCUGGGAUUUUAAACAAUUACUUGUUCACAUAAUACUCUUGCAACUUGAAAACUUUAAUAAUUCAGAAUCUGAGUUCCCACUGUGGCUCAGUGGUAACGAACCUAACUAGUAUCCAUGAGGACUUGGGUUGGAUCCCUAGUCCCAUUCAGUAGGUUAAGGAUCUGUCGUUGCCUCGAGCUGUGGUGUAGGCUGGCCAGCUGCAGCUCUGAUUCAAUCCCUAGCCUGGGAACUUCCACAUGUUCAUAGAUUCUCCUGGAUUUUCCAUAUAUGAAAAUAUAUUUUCCAAAUAUAAAAUGACAAUUUUUUUUCUUUUAUGAAUCUUAUAGUCACUAGUAUAUUAAAUCUAUUCAGGCUGCUAUAACAAAAAUACCACAGCGGCCAAAUUUCUAACAGUUCUUGAGGCCAGAAACCUAAGAUCAAGAUCUCCUAAAACCCAGUAAAUUCUUCUGAUCUAUAAAUGCCAUAAUUCCUUAAAUUCUGGGGACUUCUGUCCAAAGAUGGAUUACUUUAUUUGUUGAAUUUCCUAUUUCAGAUACGAUUACUUGUUUUUUAAAAAUCGUGUUUGUCUGUUCUUUUUGGUUUCAAUUGCAUCCCUUCUGAUUAUAGUAAGUCCUUCCUUUCUAGAGACAGUUAUAUUUUGUCAUGUCUAAUUAUUUCUCUCAUCAUUAAUUUUCACUAUGAAUUUUGCCCUCAAUUUGUUUCCUAAAUCUCUAUUCAUCUCAUUGUGCCAUGCUAUUGUUUUGAGCUUCUUUUAUUUAAGUCACAGUGUGUUGUUCUAUAACUUGAGCAUAUGUGAGUAAUUUUCUCCUGUUCCUUGGAUGAGGUUUGCUUUCUUAUUUUGGGUUCUUGGUAUCUUAUUUCCAAGCUACGUUCCUUUUUUGCUUGCUGGAACCUGUCUGCCAUGCUGUUCUGUGUUGCUGAGCUUUCAAUGGAAAGCUUCUACCUACUCCAAGAGGGAGAGUGAACUCUAACGUGCUUACCAAGUGCAUUCAUUUCUGAGGUUUGCUGGGGCUUCUCCUGUUCUCAGAGGGGAAUACUCUCAGGUUCUGACCAUGUUCCCUAAUCAAUGAGCAGUCCUGAUGCAGUCAGCUACCUCAAUGGCAGGUCCGACUGCUCACUCUCCAUUUCUAUGAUUUCUCUAACAAAAGAAGGAAGGAGACAAAGAUCCCACUUAGCUUUCUUUCUCCAGAGAUCUGAGGAAAUGAUGAAAACCCUCUGGGUUUUGUUGACUCAACCGCAUGGCUUGGAGUGGUGGAGUACAGUGAGGAGGGGUGCCACUUUAUGAUCACCCUUUGUGUCAGCAAUGCUAAAGGCAGGGAUGCACAUUUUCUUCAGAAAACACUUGUCUACAGAUAAUGAAAUGUAAACUGAUCUGAGGAGUUCCCGUAGUGGCUCAGCAGUUAAAGAACCCAACUAGCAUCCAUGAAGAUGCAGGUUCGAUCCCUGGCCUUGAGCUCAGUGGGUUAAGGAUCUGGCGUUGUUGUGAGCUGUGGUGUAGGUCGCAGACACAGCUCAGAUCCAGCAUUGCUGUGGCUCUGGAGUAAGCCGGCGGCUAUAGCUGAUUAAACCCCUAGCCUGGGAACGUUUGUAUGCCGUGGCUGUGGCCCUAAAAGACAAAAAGACCAAAAAAAAGAUCACUAUAAACUGAUCUGAGGCAAAAACUGCCUAACCUCAAUAUCCACUCACCUCUUUUUCUCAAUAAUUUAAAUAUAUUCAAGAUAGCCAUGUUCCCAGAUAAAAGACUACAUUUCCCAGCUAUCUUAGUACAGGUUGCUAGAACAAAUACCAGACUAAGGGAGUUCCCGUCGUGGGGCAGUGGUUAAUGAAUCCGACUAGGAACCAUGAGGUUGAAGGUUUGGUCCCUGGCCUUGCUCAGUGGGUUAAGGAUCCAGGGUUGCCGUGAGCUGCGGUGUAGGUUACAGACGUGGCUUGGAUCCCGCAUUGCUGUGGCUGUGGCGUAGGCCGGCGCCUACAGCUCCAAUUCAACCCCUAGCUCGGGAAUCUCCAUAUACCGCAGGAACGGAACGGCCCUGGAAAAGGCAAAAAGACAAAACAAACAAACAAAAAAACAAAAACCAACCAGACUAAUAAGGUGGCUUAAACAGCAAAUAUUUAUUCUUCACAGGUCUGAAGAUAAGGAAGUACAAGAUGCAGGAGCCGGGUGAUCCAGUUCCUGGGGAGGACCCUCAUCCUGGUUUGCCAAGGAACGCCUUCUUGCUUUAUCUUCACAGGGUGUUGAGAAAAAGGUUCUCUCUAUAGUGUCUCUUCUUAUAAAGGGCAAUAAUCCCAUUCCUGAGGGGGUCUACCCUCAUGACCUAAUUACCUACCAAAGGCCCCAUCUCCAAAUACCAUCACACUGGCGACUAAGCAUCACAUAAGGAUUUGGGGGAGGACACAAAUAUUCAGUCCACAGCACCAGCCCCUCAUGCAGCUAUGAAUGGCGAUAAAACUAAGUUCUGGUCAGUGAGAUGUAAGGAGUGUUCUGUGGGAACAGGAAAGUUUCCUUAAGGAGGGUGUGUGCCCUUCAUCACCCUCCCUCCUGUUUCCUGGAAUGUAUAUGGACUCUAGGAGCCACCACUGACCGUAAAGACGAGGGCUGCUCCCUAUAACCUCUGGACUGCUUGCCUCGGGAUUUUCCUGUACACAGGAGAAAUGCUGAGACCUUGGUCAAGCCUUUAUUAUAUUGGAUUUUCUGUUAUAUAAACCACACUGACCAUUAACUGAUACACAGUUACACUACUGUACCAAGCAGCUCCACUGCCAGACAUCUACACUAUGAAUAAAAUCAGAUAAAUAUGUAUGGAUAUAAGGAAUGACUGGCUUUUCAGAAAAAAAAAAACCUGGAAAUUAUAAAUGUACUGAAUAAUUAAUAAAACAAAUAUGAUACAUAUAUAGAAUGGGAUACUAAGUAGACUUUCAGAAUGUUAUAGAAGUAUAUUUGACAUAUAAAUAAAGGCAAGUCAUAAAACCAUAAGGUCACUUGUUUAGUAAGGAAAACUAUACAGGAGUUCUACACCAAGAAGCCGCUCUAGUAAUUUUUUUUCUUUUUAGGGCUGCACCUGCAGCAUUUGCAAGUUCCCAGGCUAGGGGUUGAAUUGCAGCUACAGCUGCCGGCCUAACACCACAGCCACAACACUGCCAGAUGCGAGUAUCAUCUGUGACCUACACUGCAGCUCACAGCAAUGCCUGAUCUUUAACCCAUAAGCAAGGCCAGGGAUUGAACCUGCAUCUUCAUGGAUACUAGUCAAGUUCUUAACCUGGUGAGGCACAAGGGGAACUCUGUUUUAGUAAUUUUUAGAUAUAAUCAAUCAUAUUAGGUUCUUCAAAUAGCUGGUUCAGAUUGCAGGGCCAGAGUAUUUACAGCCAAGGCAGUUGAGUCAAGCCAAAGAAUUAUGCACUGGGGCACAGAAAAGUCCUUAAUAUAAGAACCAAUUUACAAAAGCCAAAACCCAAAGUGAAAAGGAUCCUACAUAAAAGCUGAAGACAGAGAGAACAAUUAGCAGAGGUCUUUUUCUGCAAUGGAACUAACAACUGGAAAAAAGUCAUGGCGAAAAGCUUAAAACAACUAUGUCAUCUGCCUAGCAAGCAUCAAGUAAUUUGUUUUUCAAGUCAAAUGGGGGCAAAUAACCAACACUUUGCAGAAAUAUUUAAAAGAGAAUCUUCAAGUCAAGUAACGUUAAGAAUUUAACAAGCUAAUCCUACUAAAGAAAAAUUACCAAAAACAGAACAAAGAUUAUUUAAUAUGUAAUAUCCUUACGGACAACAGUUAGCAGGCUGAUAAACCCGUUCACCCUGAUGUACAACAUACACAAUCACUUGAUAUAUCCAAAUAUUCCUGAAGAGUAAGGUUCAGGUCUUCACAUAAGAAAUCUGUGCCAUGUGUCCGUGAUAAGCCAGACACCAGAGGUAGAAAGAGGAUCAGGUUAACUCUCUCAAACAUACUGGCUUUGACCAGCUCAACUAAACACAAACUUCUGUAUAUAGAAGGAGAUAAAAGAAAAAUCCAGGAAAAUAUUUACAGCCCACAAGAUACAAUUACUGACAUCUUCAAUACAAAUAUAUUUGUAGAAUAAAUUAUAAUAUGACUCAAAAAAAUAACUGAUUUGGUCAAUCCUAAUUUAGAAGUCAGAGUUUUGAGAAGACCAAGAAACUAUUUAUAUAAAAGCAUUUGAAAAUAUAAAGCUCUGAAUUAGCCUUGUUUAAACGGUUAAAUGACAGAAAGGUUUUAACUAUUUUUUAUACCAGUUGAUUUAAAUUGUAAUUUAAAGUUCUAUUUUUCUAUAUUUUAACACCAAAAAGUUAGUUUUUAAGUCUAGAUAAGGAGAUUGUCACAUUGUAACAAUAAGACUAAGUUUUGUUGAAAAACUUUUUUUUUUUUUAAAGCAAGGUCAGGGAUUGAACCCACGACUUCAUAGUUCCUAGUCAGAUUAAUUUCCACUGUGCCACGCCAGGAACUCCGAAAAACUGCUUUUAUUCACUUACUGUGAAUUAAUGUAGCAGUUCUCAAGGUGUGAUCCAUGGGCAUGUUCAAACAUAAUGGACUAGUUAUUGCUGUUUUUAAGAAAUAAAUAUGGUUUGGGACUGGCAUAUGCACACUGAGGUAUAGAGAAUGACUGGUCAAUGGGGACUUGCUGUACAGCACAGGGAACUCUACCCAAUAAUCUACAAGGGAAAAUAAUCUAAGAAAGAAUGGUAUGUAUAUGUAUAACUGAAUCACUUUGUUGUACAACAAAUUAUCACAACAUUGUAAAUCAACUAUACGUCAAUAAAAAUUAAAAAAUAUUAAAAAAUAAAUGUUUUAAAUUGCAGUUUUAAUUAAAUGUCAAUAAUAUAAUCCACAUAAAUAAAAGCUCUUAGCAGUCCUUAAAUUUUAAGAGUAUCAUAAAGGGGUUUUGAGACAAAAAAGCUUGAAAAUCAGUUAUACAAAUGUAUCUGUUCUGUUCACUUACAUGUAACAUGAAAGAUAAGAGUAAGCUGGUUCGCAUUACUGCAAAGAUAUGAAUCCUAUUCACUUCAACUUGUUUUCAGUGAUUAUUUUGUCCUAUUACACCAAUCCAAAAUGCUCAUGUUAGAAUAUGUAAAUCAAAAUCACAAUGAAAAUCUCUAUACACAUUGUAGGAAUCACAAAAAAUGUUAGUUUAUCUCCAGAGUCAUCUAUGCCAACUGGAUGCACCUAGCUCAUACCUUUAACCUGAAGUGACUCUAAGCAGUAAGGACAAUGGCAAGUUCUAUUUCCACACAGGUGUUCUAGAAUUCCAGAAUGCUUUUUUCUGGCCCCACCCAUGGUAUGUACAAGUUGCUGGGCUAGGGAUCAAACCUGUGCCUCAUCUGUCAUCUGAGCUGCCAGAGACACACCGGUUCCUUAACCCACUCUGCUACAGUGGGAACUCUCCAGCUUGCCCCUUUUUUUUCUUUUUAGGGCCAUACCCUCAACAUAUGGAGGUUCCCAGGGUAACAGUCGAGUUAUAGCUGUAGCUGCUGGCCUACUCCACAGCCACAGCAAUGUCAGAUCCUUAACCCACUGAGCGAGGCCAGAGAUCGGACCCAACUCUUCAUGGAUACUAGUCGGGUCCAUUACCACUCAGCCACGACAGGAACUCCUCCCCAGCUUGCUUUUGAUUCUCGGCUGCUAAAUAUUCUUCAAACAAAUGACAUUUCUGCUUAAAUUAGCCUGGUAGACUUCCAAGAGCUAUGAACAGUGUAGUCUAUAUAUUUUCUCUUUGCCUAUAAUUAGAAUGUCUUCCAAAAAAAUGAGUUCUCCUCUCAAUUUAAAUCUAAUUGUAUAACCCUAAGACCUAUCUUCCCUUCAAUUUAUUCAUUCAGACUAGGUGUCUAAGAGUCUGUAUUUCUCUAAAAAUGUGAAAUCUUUCACAUAUGUAAUCUGAAAAUAGCUGUUCUUUUCCAAAUUCGAAUUCUCUAAGGGUUGAUUCUUAGUUGUGUAACAAAAUAUAUUAUUUUAUUAUCAUUUUACUGAAAUAUUCUUUUUUUUGAUAGUGGUGGGGAAAGGAGACAAACUGGAUUUCUUUUUCUCACAUAACAAAAAGCCUAGAUGUAGGCAGUGCUGGGCUGGUGUAGCUUCUCAAGCACCAUGGGACAGGCAGACUCUCUUUCCCCCUGCUUUCUCUCAUCAUUCAUAAACAGAAUUGCCGUCUCAUGGUCACAAAAUGGUUGUGUGUCUCUGGGCACUGCAUCUGGUAUCUUAGUGAGAAGGGAGAAGGGACAAAGAGCCAAAAGGGCACGUGCCAAUCUAGUCCAGAUGUCUCACUGGCCAGCUGAGACACAUGCUCUCUGGUGCCCCAAUCAGUCACUGGGAUGAGGGCAGAGCUGCUCCAGGGUGAAAUUCCAAUCAGAACUGCGGGAAUUUUAGAGAUUAUCAAGCAUCUUCUAUAGGGUCUGUCAAACAGCUCAGAAAUGUCCAAGAUCGCAAUGAAACAACACUUUUACUAAGUUUAUUCCAUAAGAUACUUUCCCAAUUUUGUUCAGAAAAC
This 7128-nucleotide long non-coding RNA is filed under the name Sus scrofa (pig). Its description in RNAcentral is "lncRNA (ENSSSCG00005041183.1)". The record is from RNAcentral. Lineage: Eukaryota; Metazoa; Chordata; Mammalia; Artiodactyla; Suidae.